CCUGGACGAAGACUGACGCUCAGGUGCGAAAGCGUGGGGAGCAAACAGGAUUAGAUACCCUGGUAGUCCACGCUGUAAACGAUGUCGAUUUGGAGGUUGUGGCCUUGAGCUGUGGCUUCCGAAGCUAACGCGUUAAAUCGACCGCCUGGGGAGUACGGCCGCAAGGUUAAAACUCAAAUGAAUUGACGGGGGCCCGCACAAGCGGUGGAGCAUGUGGUUUA
This 221-nucleotide ribosomal RNA is filed under the name Photorhabdus luminescens subsp. sonorensis. RNAcentral describes it as "partial 16S ribosomal RNA". It matches the Rfam family "Bacterial small subunit ribosomal RNA", at positions 728 to 948 of the family's 1533-position model. Lineage: Bacteria; Pseudomonadati; Pseudomonadota; Gammaproteobacteria; Enterobacterales; Morganellaceae. The record is from RNAcentral.